AAGACCUUGCGCUUUUGGAGCGGCCGAUGCCUGAUUAGCUUGUUGGUAAGGUAAAAGCUUACCAAGGCUUCGAUCAGUAGCUGGUCUGAGAGGACGACCAGCCACACUGGGACUGAGACACGGCCCAGACUCCUACGGGAGGCAGCAGUGGGGAAUUUUGGACAAUGGGGGCAACCCUGAUCCAGCCAUGCCGCGUGAGUGAAGAAGGCCUUCGGGUUGUAAAGCUCUUUCAGCCGGAACGAAACGGUUACGGAUAACACCCGUGACUACUGACGGUACCGGAAGAAGAAGCACCGGCUAACUACGUGCCAGCAGCCGCGGUAAUACGUGGGGUGCGAGCGUUAAUCGGAAUUACUGGGCGUAAAGCGUGCGCAGGUGGUUUUGUAAGUCAGAUGUGAAAGCCCCGGGCUCAACCUGGGAACU
RNAcentral lists this ribosomal RNA (423 nucleotides) under uncultured bacterium. Its description in RNAcentral is "bacterial SSU rRNA". It matches the Rfam family "Bacterial small subunit ribosomal RNA", at positions 207 to 622 of the family's 1533-position model. The record is from RNAcentral.